GAUGAACGCUAGCGGCAGGCCUAACACAUGCAAGUCGAACGGUAACAUAAAGUGCUUGCACUUUGAUGACGAGUGGCGCACGGGUGCGUAACGCGUAUACAAUCUACCUUUUACAGGAGGAUAGCCUUUAGAAAUGAAGAUUAAUACUCCAUAGUAAUUGACUGUGGCAUCACAGACAAUUUAAAGCUUCGGUGGUAAAAGAUGAGUAUGCGUUCUAUUAGCUAGAUGGUGUGGUAACGGCAUACCAUGGCAACGAUAGAUAGGGGCCCUGAGAGGGGGAUCCCCCACACUGGUACUGAGACACGGACCAGACUCCUACGGGAGGCAGCAGUGAGGAAUAUUGGACAAUGGAGGCAACUCUGAUCCAGCCAUGCCGCGUGCAGGAAGACUGCCCUAUGGGUUGUAAACUGCUUUUAUACAGGAAGAAACCGCUCUACGUGUAGAGUUCUGACGGUACUGUAAGAAUAAGGAUCGGCUAACUCCG
RNAcentral lists this ribosomal RNA (484 nucleotides) under uncultured Psychroserpens sp. RNAcentral describes it as "bacterial SSU rRNA". It matches the Rfam family "Bacterial small subunit ribosomal RNA", at positions 28 to 505 of the family's 1533-position model. Lineage: Bacteria; Pseudomonadati; Bacteroidota; Flavobacteriia; Flavobacteriales; Flavobacteriaceae. The record is from RNAcentral.